AUCCUAAGGUGGGGACAAGGGGCAAAGCAGAGCAGUGGGGAAGACAUUUCUGCUGUGUUUCUCCCCUCUUCUAUGUAAGGCCAGGGAAAGCCUUCAGUUUAGUAGGUCAUCACUAUCGCAGCACACCUGCAUGCAGCUCCUCGGGGACUCUGGGCACAGGACAAGUCAGAACAACCAGAAGAAGACUCGAGCCACUAAGAGUUGACAGCAGAAAGACAAGGGGCAGGCUUCCAGUCAAAAGGCACCCAAAUAAGGAGACAAAAGGACUGACUCAGAGAGGUGGGACAGGAUGGGGAGACAAAGACCGUGAUUGCUAUCAGCUGCUGAAGGCAGCUAUCAGCUCCUGAAGGCGCAUCCCGGGCUAUCAGAUGGGCACCCUGAGGGGAGAAGCUUUGAAAAAGUGCCAACAAGAACCAACCCGCUGGUGAGGCCGCGAUGGCGCUUCAGCUGCAGACAUGACUACACAGCCCCAGCUCCAGAGAGAGAGCUUUGUCAUACUGCCAUCAGCACUUUCUUGUUAUAUGGGAUGUCUGGACAGGCACCUGUGUCACAUAAUUCAAAAGGGCCAGGGCCUGCAGCUCUCAGCUAACUCAUCGUCCGGAGCCCUUCAGCACUGAAUUUCUGAGCAUGUGUUGACUACUCUAGUUGUAACUUACUCACUAAUAGCUUACUCCCUGUAAGCUUUGGGCAGAUGUGACCUAAGUGUGGAGAUACAUUGCUGUCACUUCUCCCACAGAGGCCCUGUCACUAUGAGGAUCUCUGCCUCCUUAGCUGGGUUCCUGAAGUGCCUGGGGAGGAACUGCCCAAAACUGCUAGUGGCACCUCUGUAGUGCAAGCAUAAGCCAAUGGUUUGGAGUCAAAGGCUUCUCUUUGUUAAAAUCCAGGAAAAUGAUGAUGAAAGGAAACUUUUGCUUGGAAGAGAAUGAAAUGAAAGGGCUUGGAGGUCUUCAAAGUGGAUUGUGGAGAAAAGUUGGGCCAGUUUUAAAACAAACCUGAAAGAGAGACAGAGAAAUGAGUAGAAAAUUAAGCAAUGGAGGAGAAAGACAUGCAAAUAAAGUGCAGAGUAGGGCUUAAAGGGAGAGAGAUGGAGGGAACAACCUGUGAAGAAAAACUGAAAGUAGAUGAGGUGAUGUAGAAUAUGGGGAGUACACAUGAAGGCACUGCAGAAAAGAGAGAAUAAGAGGAUGGGGGUGCUGCUCUUCAAAGAAAAGAGAAAAAAAAAAGAGGAGAGAAAUAAGGAAAAAAAAAAAGAGCUGAAAACCAUAGACAGAGGCUUGUGGAAAAACUGAAUGUUUGGGAGGAAAUUCAAGUGUUAGAGAGAGAGCAUGAAGAAAGCCAUGUAAUAUUAAGACUAGCAAAAUGUUUCUUAUUUAUUCAUGUUACUCCUGGAUUAUUUUUCCCUGGCAGCUGCUGCGGGUCCGAUUGCCAUGCCCUCCCCUCCCUCGGAGGAGCGCGGCCAAGCACUUCUCUUUGAGGAUGAUGAAUGGGCAGAGCAUUCUUGAGCACUUCAGCUGUACACAAGGCUCUCCAAAGCCCCCUUCGGUCUUGGGCAGCUUCCCCACAGCCUCCCUGGUGGAAACUUGGCAGCUCUGCUACAACCCACAUGUAGGCUCCCAUCCUGCAAGCUGGUCCAUUACCAAUGCUGAAAUAUGUGUCUUGGGGUAAAAUAUCUGAGAAUGGGGCUAACCUUCCCUGCAAAGGAGGUGUCAUCUGUUCCCUUUCCUGCAUCCUUCCUUGCCACUGGUGUGCAGGGCGUGUGCACGCUCCUCACAGACAUUUAGCAACUUAUUGAUGGGGUGGUCCAAAUCCUGUUGCAGUCCAUGAAAGUUCUUCUGCUAGUUUUAAUGGCCUUUAAAAUGCUCGCCCCCGUGAGGCUCACACCCAGCUGUACCCUUUGGACUUGUCAGAGAACUUGAUUUGCUGAGCAAUUUAAUCAGUGGGAAAGUUGGGAAGUUCAGAAAGGCGAGAUCAGGCCUUUUAACCUUUUCUUUCCUCCCCUGAGCAUGGGGAAGCCUUUUCCAAGCCCAGAUAGAUAUUUAAAAGAACAGCUUUUCUCAGAGGUAGUUUUUAUCAGUCCAGACAGGGACACAAUAUUUUUUUUUCAAAAGCUUCCCAGUGAUUUCAGGGUGUAAGUCCCAUCUUACUUCAGAAGUGACACUUGGGCUCUUUUCUUGCCCUUCAGCCGUGUCUUCCUGCUCUUCAGCCAGAUCUCUGAGGAGAAAGAAGCAAAGAAGGGGCUCAAACAGCUCUCUUUAAAUCAGAGGCAUGUUUAAGAGCUGACAUCUCACAGGAUUGACACUAGACACAUGGAUCAGGCACAUCUCACAGCCCAGAGGUCUGAACUAGGAACCUCUGUACAUAUUUUCCGGCAGCAAACUUAAAUGUGAUAUACGCAGCACUGUGCUACAAAGCAUGUGCCAACUUGACAGGAAUACAGGAGCUCUAGGAAAGCAACUAUUAAUGAGAUGGAUCUAUCAGCCUAGUAAGAAGCUUAUUCCCUCUUGGACCAUACAUGGAUUUUUUGGGAAAACACACGUCAACUAAGCGAGUCAAGGAAAAGGCAGUAAUUUGGAGAGCACUUGCACUUGCACCACUGCUGCUGUAGAGCACAUAUAGGCUCUGCCCUGGUUGUGCACAAAGGCUUUCUGGAUGCUUUUCCAAAAUGGUCUCGGCAUCGAGUUUUCAGCAGGUUGGGAGGUAGAAAGCCCAAGAGGAUGUGCAGCAGCAACUGUGGGCAACCAGGCUCUCUACAGGCUGACACAGGGCUGAAUAUCCCUGCCUUGGCAGGGCUGGUCCUGAAGACAUUUGUUUGCAUGAAUGGCCCUGUUAUCUGCAAACUGGACAACGUUGAAAUCCCCUGAGCUUCUUUCAGGGGUGUGGGGACUGCAGGGUGAGGCCCUGAGUGAGAGACUGCUGUGCAAGGAUUGCCUGGGCCGGGAGAGCCUGAUGAGACAUCUCUCAGGGGGACAGAAAGGUUUUUAAUGUGCUUCCUGCUACAAGCAGUGCCAUCCCCACUGCUGAUGCGUAUAUGGGGCUCUCUUCAGUAACCUCAAUUAAAAAAUAAAUAAAUAAAUUUUAACAUACGUUUACUUCAUAUUCACAUACUUAACUGGCCACACUGUCUAUCUCAGGAAAUCCGUGGGAUUUCCUAAGGAGCUUUGUUAUCUAAUUCGUUUCCAAUGGCAGUGAAUCCACAGCUGCAGUGCUCAUUAUAAAUGCUGUCACUUCCAGGAAGUGUGGGGCUGAAGUGCCUCCCCUGCUGCCAUGCUAGCGCUGCACACCGAAUCCCCCCAGCGUGCUUGUUUUCCCAUGCGUGCCUCAGCUUCAGCGCUGCGGUUGCAGCCCUUGGUCCCAACCCUGUUAACUCUUCACCUCGAGAGCAGUGCUACUCGGCUGAGCGUGCUUCCAGGUGGCUCCUCCUGCACGUGAGAGGUGGCACAGUCAGGCAGAGGUUUAUUUAAACAAGCCUGCAUCAGCACGCAGGCUGCUACAUCUCGCUUGAAUUUCUCCUAAAAGGAGGUGGCGGGGCCAUGCUCGCUCCCUGGGUGGCUGCUGGACUUUCGCUGUGGGACACGAGCCCGGUGUUCAGCCUGUAGCAACCAGGACUUAAUAACACCAGUCACGAGGCAUAAAACACCCUAAAUUGGCUGGGUGGUUUGGUGAUAAUGAAGCGGGGUGUUUACACAGCGCAAUUUCGUCUUCUCAAGGCCUGUGAUGUGAACUGUGGACUCAUACUACCCUAGGGGCAAUAUAUAUGGGACUUGCGUUAGGUUAGAGAAAGAAUAACCUUUCUCCUACUGGGUUUGCUUUAAUUAUAGUCUGAGUUGAGUUGCACCAUCUUAUUUUUCCCAUAUUCUUCGAUUUGUUCAAACCGUAACCUUUUAGGCUAGCAUUUUCCGUGCCAGAUGACUGCCUCAGCCUGCCUCUGGAGGGAUGUUUCUCGCUGUUCUUUCUAGGAAUGCUUUUCCCAGAACAGCUUCUCAUGGAGGACGCCGUGAACUUGGGAAAGCCAGCUGUAAGACAUGUGUAAAAUCUGGUUUCAAGCAUGUGUCUUUUGUACCUCCCGUGAAAAAUACCCGGACUCAGCCAAGUCAUAAGCCCCUGGAAAAUCGCAGUUUGCACACACCUGGUGGAGGCUUGCAAGUUUGGCAGCUGCCUGAUGUUUCUUCUGCUCAGAGAGUGCUCUGCUCUGUGGCUGCAGGGACUCGGCUGGAGGUUUCUGCCCGUGCUCUUCUUCAUGCCUGCUGGCACAGGCACAGGGACACCAGCUCUGCCACAUUUAUCUCCUUGACCCAAAACCGUGAGGAGGAAGCGUCCUGGCCUUGAUGUCUGCAGGAGGCAUAAAUAGCUGCCGCAGCAAAGACAAUAUCCAGGACUGUAGAGAGUAACCUCAGUGAUAGCACCACUGGUGUGUUUAUCCAGCACUGUGCUCUGGCAGUAAAUAUCCAAAAUCCAGCAGGAGACAUCCCUGAGCACCCUGCUGUGGCUGACCCUGAUUUGAGCAGGAGGUUGGGCAGGAGGAUCUCCAGAGGUCCCUUCUGGCCUCAGCCAUGCUCUGCCGAUGUGUUCUCACGGAUUGGGAGCCUCAGGGGGCUAUUUACGCUGCCAGUCUUUGGGCACUUCAAUUCAGGAAGCUUUUUCCCCUAUCUCGUCUUCGGAGGGAGAUUAGUCCAGGCAGGAGGUGACUCAGAGAAUCCAGGCUGGUCUCCUGCUCUGAAUCACCUCCUGCGACGUAUCUCCUCUGAUUAUAAAGGCAGCUGAUGGAUACCGAAGGAGCAACUUCCCUAAGUUUUGUACCUAAAGAUGCUGAUGCACCUUCCUUUUUAAGGCUAUAGAUAAUAGAUGAGUGCUUUCAAACCAGCAGAGGAGUAGACUAUUGGCCAAAUUUCUGAGUGUAAACCGAGGACAAAAACUGGACUAUGGGAUACAUUGUAAAAUCCAAGUUAUUUUGUGAUGAUCCUGUGAUACAGAUGAAUACAGUUUCCUUGUUUUGUUGCCCUUCUCUGCUAAGCAGAUUACCCAUCUUCUCCAGCUGGAAGCCUGUAGUGUUAGCAGAGUGAAGACUCUACUCUUAUCUGGAGAGAUUGUAUUUUUGAGGGGGUGGGGGAGCUCCAAGCAAUUUCAUAAGCUGUGUUGCUGUGAGUAUGCAGCCUUUUUACAUGCCUGUUUUCAGGUUAGCAGUCCGUAAAAAUACUCACUCUGCUGAAUAUUUUAAAGCAUGCAAUAAAACAAUAUUUUAUGGAAGAGAACAAGGGAAUGUGUACAAGCCUGUCAGAUUUUGAUGAGUCAAAAUAUUCAUCGCAGUUUUAUCACAGGGUAUCAACGUGAGGAGUGAUAAUUACCUGUGACCAGUUGGGCCAGAACUGCUUUUACUGAUAGAUGCAUUUUCGGUCUUUGUGGGCUGUGCUUUUGCCUUGCAGUUUUAGGCAAUGCCCUUUAGCGAAUCCUUCAUGCAAGGUGUGAGGUUUGACAGACCCUGAUUCAUCAGUGAUUUUAUGGCAAGUGUGAUUUUUUUUUCCCCAUUGGUCCCAGAGGUCUGAGACCAUAGAAGUCUGACAAAAUUAGCUGAGCAGUGGAUGCUGUGAAGGUUGGUUACAUACUGCUAUUCAUGCACGUGUGCUUGCUGGCUGCCAGACAGACCGGAGAGCAGCCAAAUUCUCUCUGCCUCUCGCUCAGGGGGUUUUCAAAGAUGUUUCUUUCCUACGUCCUGUUGGUGAUUAAAAAAAGAAAAAGAAAAACAAAAGGAUGAGGCAUUACUGUCCCUGGUUUCUCCUCCUCUGACAGUUUGGCCAAUGGAUUCAAAAGCUGCUGAAGGAAAACAGGAAGACAGGAAGACACACAGACUGUGAUGAUAUAAACUCUGUUUCUCUAGGACACUAGGCUUAAAAAAAGUUCCUAGGCCUCUCAGUAACAGAAUAAACCUUGGGAACAUGACUUAAGUCUGUGCUGUGGGCUCAGAAACUAAAAGGAAUGAAUCCCACAUGUAUUGAUUAUUUUUAAAAUGCUUGCAAGCUCCAGUUCAGUUUUAUGAUUAUUUGGUGACUUGCUCCUGCCUGGAGCUGAAAGUUUGACAUUGAGCUCCUCCAAAUAUAUGGCCUAUUAGAGGUCCCUCUGGUGAUCAUAACAUAGAAGCCAGCAGUUAGCUGCCUCUGUUAUGGGUUCCCAGCACUUCUAGGGAUUUGUUCCUGUGAAUAAUAUUUCCUCUGGACCCCACCUCACCGAUCUGAGCUGCACUUGAGAGGACACAUCUAGAGCAAUUUGCCAGAAUCGACUGUUUGACAUAAUCUGUUUAUAAAAAUUGAUAGAAACGUGUAGAUGAAAAAAAAAAAAAAAAAAAAAAAA
Molecule: non-coding RNA, 6342 nt
Organism: Anas platyrhynchos (mallard)
Lineage: Eukaryota; Metazoa; Chordata; Aves; Anseriformes; Anatidae
Source: RefSeq, a predicted model, not a curated record